AGGGUUAGUUUUAACAGCAAAGGGCCUUUACUAAAAUGGCGAAGGCCUUCCGUCGGCGUUGUUUUAAAAUGGGAAGCCUCGACCCUGUAUUGAAACUGAGCUGUUCGAAGGCGGCGUUGUGUGCAAUUCGGAUUAAUGAAGGGGAAGGGUUUUGUGUGGAAAAACGCCUUGGAGUGUGACAUUUCUGCGAGAAUGCUUAAAUACCGAUUUCCCGCAGGAACAAUGGCGCUGUCUUCAGUGGCACAGUGGAGCAGCUCUGAAGAUGCAAAGAUACACGAAAAAACUUCCAGAACAUCUGGGAGAAUAUUUAAUGGAAAAUCGCUUGGUUAAAACCUGACACUUUUAACAGACUAAAUCAAAUUUUUUUUGUCAGUGAACAGCGUUCUGAGUGUGGACGAGUAGCCAGUGAAGAUAAUGAAUGUCGAAUGUGACUGACUAGCAGCUUCAUUUUGAAUGAGGGUCGCUGUCUGCCCAUUGAUAGAGGCCAGAUUGUCUUGGAAGUUCCAAAGUUGCAACGAUUUCUGGCUAGUGCCACGAGGUUUACUUGACUGUUGUGUGAAAAGCUGAUAAGAAAACCAUCCAGAAAAAAGCUCUUCGUUUUACAAACAUGAAAAUAAAACAUGUAAUUUUGG
Molecule: long non-coding RNA, 632 nt
Filed under: Homo sapiens (human)
Lineage: Eukaryota; Metazoa; Chordata; Mammalia; Primates; Hominidae
Description: non-protein coding SNHG5:22
Source: RNAcentral